RNAcentral lists this ribosomal RNA (261 nucleotides) under uncultured prokaryote. RNAcentral's name for it is "partial 16S ribosomal RNA". It matches the Rfam family "Bacterial small subunit ribosomal RNA", at positions 524 to 784 of the family's 1533-position model. The record is from RNAcentral.
UACGUAGGUGGCAAGCGUUGUCCGGAUUUACUGGGUGUAAAGGGCGUGCAGCCGGGAAGACAAGUCAGAUGUGAAAUCUGGAGGCUCAACCUCCAAACUGCAUUUGAAACUGUUUUUCUUGAGUAUCGGAGAGGUAAUCGGAAUUCCUUGUGUAGCGGUGAAAUGCGUAGAUAUAAGGAAGAACACCAGUGGCGAAGGCGGCUUCCUGGCACAAUACUGACGCUCAUGUGCGAAAGCUAGGGCAGCGAACGGGAUUAGAUA